CAACUACUCCCUCUGUCCCAAAUUUCUUGUCUUAGAUUUGUCUAGAUAUGGAUGUAUCUAAUACUAAAAUGUGACUUGAUACAUCCGUAUCUAGACAAAUCUAAGACAAGAAUUUUGGGAUGGAGGGGUACUUU
This is a non-coding RNA of Triticum aestivum (bread wheat), 134 nucleotides long. The record is from Rfam. NCBI's taxonomy places the organism in Eukaryota, Viridiplantae, Streptophyta, Magnoliopsida, Poales, Poaceae.